This 499-nucleotide ribosomal RNA is filed under the name uncultured bacterium. Its description in RNAcentral is "partial 16S ribosomal RNA". It matches the Rfam family "Bacterial small subunit ribosomal RNA", at positions 28 to 507 of the family's 1533-position model. The record is from RNAcentral.
GACGAACGCUGGCGGCGUGCCUAAUACAUGCAAGUCGAGCGGACUUUCAAGAAGCUUGCUUUUUGAAAGUUAGCGGCGGACGGGUGAGUAACACGUGGGCAACCUGCCUGCAAGACGGGGAUAACUCCGGGAAACCGGGGCUAAUACCGGAUAAUAUCUUCCUUCGCAUGAAGGAAGGUUGAAAGGCGGCGCAAGCUGCCGCUUGCAGAUGGGCCCGCGGCGCAUUAGCUAGUUGGUGAGGUAACGGCUCACCAAGGCGACGAUGCGUAGCCGACCUGGGAGGGUGAUCGGCCACACUGGGACUGAGACACGGCCCAGACUCCUACGGGAGGCAGCAGUAGGGAAACUUUCGCAAUGGACGAAAGUCUGGAGGAGCAACGCCGCGUGAGCGAAGAAGGUCUUCGGAUCGUAAAGCUCUGUUGUCAGGGAAGAACAAGUACCGUUCGAACAGGGCGGUACCUUGACGGUACCUGACCAGAAAGCAACGGCUAACUACGUG